RNAcentral lists this ribosomal RNA (476 nucleotides) under uncultured Saprospiraceae bacterium. Its description in RNAcentral is "bacterial SSU rRNA". It matches the Rfam family "Bacterial small subunit ribosomal RNA", at positions 28 to 505 of the family's 1533-position model. The record is from RNAcentral. Lineage: Bacteria; Pseudomonadati; Bacteroidota; Saprospiria; Saprospirales; Saprospiraceae.
GAUGAACGCUAGCGGGAGGCUUAAUACAUGCAAGUCGAACGGUAACAUGGGAGCUUGCUCCUGAUGACGAGUGGCGCACGGGUGAGUAACGCGUACACGACCUACCUUGUACUGGGGCACAUACACUGGAAACGGAGUAAAUACCCCAUAGUAUUGUGGAUUUAAUUUGCAAUUAAAGUUACGACGGUACGAGAUGGGUGUGCGUACUAUUAGAUAGUUGGUGAGGUAACGGCUCACCAAGUCGACGAUAGUUAGGGGGCGUGAGAGCGUGGCCCCCCACACGGGUACUGAGACACGGACCCGACUCCUACGGGAGGCAGCAGUAAGGAAUAUUGGACAAUGGGCGGAAGCCUGAUCCAGCUAUCCCGCGUGAAGGAUGACGGCCCUCUGGGUUGUAAACUUCUUUUGAAUAGGACGAAACGCUUUCAUUUAUGAGAGCCUGACGGUACUAUUAGAAUAAGCACCGGCUAACUCCG